RNAcentral lists this ribosomal RNA (253 nucleotides) under uncultured bacterium. Its description in RNAcentral is "partial 16S ribosomal RNA". It matches the Rfam family "Bacterial small subunit ribosomal RNA", at positions 524 to 776 of the family's 1533-position model. The record is from RNAcentral.
UACGUAGGGCGCGAGCGUUGUCCGGAAUUAUUGGGCGUAAAGAGUUCGUAGGCGGUCUGUCACGUCGGCUGUGAAAACCCGAGGCUCAACCUCGGGCCUGCAGUCGAUACGGGCAGACUAGAGUUCGGUAGGGGAGACUGGAAUUCCUGGUGUAGCGGUGAAAUGCGCGGAUAUCAGGAGGAACACCGGUGGCGAAGGCGGGUCUCUGGGCCGAAACUGACGCUGAGGAGCGAAAGCGUGGGGAGCGAACAGG